UCUUUCCUAUAGAUGGCACGCACAUCCCGCCGCCUUCUUGCAGCACUAGGAGUGAAACAGCUUACGUCUCUUGAAUGGAAGCAUGGACCGAGUCAAAGUCACCUGCACCUUCCUGACACUGGUCAUCUUGGUGGUCACAAAUUCCGUGGGCUGCAGUAGGACAUUGGAUCAGCUGAUCCUGCGUCGGUCGGUGAACAUUCGUAUGAAACAUUCAGUGAACACUGGAAAAGUUGUGAAAUCGUGCCGGUACGUUACGAAGGGGCGACCGCAACACGUGAUGCACGUACGAGACGGCACAAUCUGC
This is a long non-coding RNA of Rhipicephalus microplus (southern cattle tick), 304 nucleotides long. The record is from RefSeq and is a predicted model, not a curated record. Lineage: Eukaryota; Metazoa; Arthropoda; Arachnida; Ixodida; Ixodidae.